UGCAAGCACCGGGGCAGUACACAGGAGUAGCUUCGCGGAAUUGAACGAAUGCUCACAUUCCGGAGACCACUUAAACGGAACCUUGGGUGACAAAAGCGAAGACAGGGGGGCUACCACCGUCGAAACGUUUUUGCAAAACGUACGGUAAUAACCCACCAUACCUAGGAAACGGCGAAGCUCACGGCGCGUAACAGGGGCAGGGAAACUAGCUAUGGCUUCCACCUUGCUAGCUAACAACCGAACCUGCCCAUGUCCCACCUGUUUUCCAAGGUACGUCAUGAAACAAGGUACGCCCCCGCCUGCAGCGCAACAGUGGCCACUGAAGAGACAGCGGGCUGGAUGGGCUUAUUGGAGAGAGUGUUAGAAGGACCUCG
Gasterosteus aculeatus aculeatus (three-spined stickleback) is the source of this 374-nucleotide non-coding RNA. NCBI's taxonomy places the organism in Eukaryota, Metazoa, Chordata, Actinopteri, Perciformes, Gasterosteidae. The record is from RefSeq and is a predicted model, not a curated record.